AGUGAACGCUGGCGGUAGGCCUAACACAUGCAAGUCGAACGGCAGCACAGUAAGAGCUUGCCCUUACGGGUGGCGAGUGGCGGACGGGUGAGGAAUACAUCGGAAUCUACUUUUUCGUGGGGGAUAACGUAGGGAAACUUAUGCUAAUACCGCAUAUGAUCUACGGGUGAAAGCAGGGGAUCUUCGGACCUUGCGCGACUGAAUGAGCCGAUGUCGGAUUAGCUAGUUGGCGGGGUAAAGGCACACCAAGGCGACGAUCCGUAGCUGAUCUGAGAGGAUGAUCAGCCACACUGGAACUGAGACACGGUCCAGACUCCUACGGGAGGCAGCAGUGGGGAAUAUUGGACAAUGGGCGCAAGCCUGAUCCAGCCAUGCCGCGUGAGUGAAGAAGGUCUUCGGGUUGUAAAGCCCUUUUGUUAGGGAAGAAAAGCAGCAGGUUAAUACCCCGCUGUUCUGACGGUACCCAAAGAGUAAGCACCGGCUAACUUCGUG
This 492-nucleotide ribosomal RNA is filed under the name uncultured bacterium. RNAcentral describes it as "partial 16S ribosomal RNA". It matches the Rfam family "Bacterial small subunit ribosomal RNA", at positions 29 to 507 of the family's 1533-position model. The record is from RNAcentral.